GGUUUUUCAGGAUUUUAAUUUCUUUCUAAGCUUGUGAUUUUGGAUACUACGGACCGUCUUGUGAAAAGGAAUGCCCAGACUGCUACUGGGACAAGCCGUGCAAUAGCAUAUCUGGAAAGUGUGAGGACACUGCAGUUUGUACUGAGCCAGAGGAUGUAGGUGUCUGUAAUUUAGGCAAGUACAGCUUGAAAUGUCCUCUUGGGCCUGGCUGGUGGUACUGGAAUGGAUGUUGUUACUUUAUAGAAAGGAAUAGAACUCUGAGUUGGAUGGAAGCCAGGCUGUUUUGCGACCAUUUUAAAAGAACAAGUCUGUUGCAGCUGGAAUCGUCAGCUGAAAAGAACUGGCUACAAAAGAUGAUAAAACAGCCAGCAUGGAUAGGAAUGAAAUGGGAAACAUCAGCAUCUGAGUGGCAGUGGGCAGAUGGAUCAAGAGUAAACACAGCUCUGAACUGCUGAAGACAUGUUUCAGUUUUAUGCAGGCCACAUAAUAACGCAAAGACAGAAUUUGUUGCCAAAAGUAUACUCUUCCCUCGAAUCUGCUGAAAAUGCAUGCCUGUAUGAGAAAACACAUUGUACUGGAGUAGUCCGUUCACAGAAACGGUAUCAUUUGGUUAGUGGAACAGAGGUAUU
Molecule: long non-coding RNA, 629 nt
Filed under: Gopherus agassizii (Agassiz's desert tortoise)
Lineage: Eukaryota; Metazoa; Chordata; Testudines; Testudinidae
Description: lncRNA (ENSGAGG00000001867.1)
Source: RNAcentral